Molecule: ribosomal RNA, 748 nt
Rfam family: Bacterial large subunit ribosomal RNA
Source: Rfam
AUGAGUAACGAAAAAGUUAACCUCGCCUUAAGCUUAUGGUAUUUAAAUUAAUUUUCGGUGUCUAAGUAAUUAAUCUAAAGAUAAUUACGAUGACGUAAUGGUGAAUUUUUAAUUUAUAUAAUUAUAAAUUUAACUAAUUACAAAACUAUAAGUAACAAUAUAUAUAAUAUAUUACUAUAAUGAAAGAUUGCAUAACCUUUGUAAAGUAGCAGAGGUUCAGGAAAUAAGUUUUUUAUUAUAUACUAUUUAUAUUAUACAAAAUAUUGUUAUAUUAAAUGAUAUAGUAAUAAAAAAGUAAUUAGCAUAUACCGUACCUAGAUACUAUCACAAGUAAGCAAGUAGAGUAUACAAAGGCGUUUGAGUGAACAAUCAUUAAGGAACUCGGCAAAUUGACUACCGUAACUUCGGGAUAAGGAGAACCAUUUUUAUUAGUUUGACCAAUUUUAUAUUGGAUAAUUAUUAAAUUAAUAGAAAGAGGGGGCAUAGAAUAAUGUUGUACGACUGUUUAAUAAAAACAAAGCACUCUGCCAAGAUAAAAGUCUAAGUAUUGAGUGUGAUGUCUGCCCAAUGUCGGCUGGAUAACGAAUUUAUCUUGAUAUUUAUUUAAGGUUUUGAAGGAUACCCCGAUCAAUGGCGGCCUUACCUAUGAGGGUCCUAAGGUAGCGGAAUACCUUGGCCGUUAAAUGCGGUCUUUGCAUGAAUGACUUAACGAUACAACAGCUGUCUCGAUGAUUGUCUCAGUGAAAUU